GACGAACGCUGGCGGCGUGCUUAACACAUGCAAGUCGAACGGAAAGGCCCUGCUUUUGUGGGGUGCUCGAGUGGCGAACGGGUGAGUAACACGUGAGUAACCUGCCCUUGACUUUGGGAUAACUUCAGGAAACUGGGGCUAAUACCGGAUAGGAGCUCCUGCUGCAUGGUGGGGGUUGGAAAGUUUCGGCGGUUGGGGAUGGACUCGCGGCUUAUCAGCUUGUUGGUGGGGUAGUGGCUUACCAAGGCUUUGACGGGUAGCCGGCCUGGGAGGGUGACCGGGCCCAUUGGGACUGAGGUACGGCCCAGACUCCUACGGGGGGGAGCAGUGGGGAAUAUUGCACAAUGGGCGGAAGCCUGAUGCAGCAACGCCGGGUGCGGGAUGACGGCCUUCGGGUUGUAAACCGCUUUCGCCUGUGACGAAGCGUGAGUGACGGUAAUGGGUAAAGAAGCACCGGCUAACUACGUG
Molecule: ribosomal RNA, 468 nt
Filed under: uncultured bacterium
Lineage: Bacteria
Description: partial 16S ribosomal RNA
Rfam family: Bacterial small subunit ribosomal RNA
Source: RNAcentral